Molecule: long non-coding RNA, 240 nt
Organism: Thalassophryne amazonica
Lineage: Eukaryota; Metazoa; Chordata; Actinopteri; Batrachoidiformes; Batrachoididae
Exons: 3
Source: RefSeq, a predicted model, not a curated record
CAGCUAAAACUGAAACGACAGCUGAAGUGUUGUUUAGAUUCAUCCCAGUCCCAGUGAAUGCUGGGAAAAUGUCAGUGGUCCAAGAGUUGGAUGGCAAAGGUCCAUGUUAACCAAAUGUAAAAACUUGCACAAGUGUAACGUGUGCUUUUGCCACCAGUAGAAUAAACAUGUAAUGCGUCGACAGAUAAAACAUUACAGCUUUUUUUUUUUUUAAAUAACCAGUUUUUGAAUUCUGUAUUA